Molecule: long non-coding RNA, 1736 nt
Organism: Mastomys coucha (southern multimammate mouse)
Lineage: Eukaryota; Metazoa; Chordata; Mammalia; Rodentia; Muridae
Exons: 4
Source: RefSeq, a predicted model, not a curated record
AUCCUGGUCCUUAGUGUCUACAUCCUGGUCCUCAGUGUCCAGAAGCAGUUUCCAGGAUUUUUGGUUUUUGUUUUUUUGUUUUUGAGUCCAUUAAUUCCUUGCCUGAAACUAAAGCAACUCUGAAUGUAACAUUAGUGUAGGAGGAAAGCCUGACAAUUUCCUUUAGUCAUCAUAUUGCUCUCAGAGGAGAGGAAGGUUGGAUUGGUGGAGCCAAAGGGAUCAAGAACAACACAAGAACACAGGCCACAGAAUCAACUGACUGGGACUCAGGAGAAUCUUCUCAUGUCCUCCCAAGGACAUGCCUCUGAGCUUGUGUAUACUUCUUGGUCUAUCUGCAGGUCUACAUCUCCUCACCUCACAAGAACACGAAUCAAACAAAAUUACGAUCAACCCAAGUAGUAUCAUUUUGAUGCCAGUUCAAAGGAACUAUUACUAAAUAAUGCCAUACUCUUGGGUGCUGGAAGUUUGACCUGUUAUACGUGGAUUUUGCAGAGCACAAUUCAACAUAUAACACUAGAAAAACGAUAUACACAGAAUCUUCAUGAUUUGACCUGGCAGGGUGUUGACCUCAUAGUAAAACACAGUCCUCAAAGAUUUUUACAGAAACAAUCAGUGGGACAAUUUAAUGUCACAACUCUGUAAGACAGAUACCAGUUGGAACGUGGUAUUCUAAAGAUCUUCCAAAAGAUGCAUGAAGAGCCUUAAAUCUGUACACCUUGUCAUUUUACACAGUUGUUGGGGCUACUAUGUAGAAACUGAAGGCUUAGACAAAGUUGGAACCUGCCUGAACACAGAAGAUGCUAGCAACGGGCAUUGACUCCCAGCAAGGAAUUGUAGAUGCCCAAGUCCUAACUGCUUAAAGAAGCCUCUCAUUAGCCAUUAGUUAAGGACUUCCCUUGCUAUACCCUACAGGAGACAGAAUGGCCAACUGACAGUGAAACAGCCACAAGCAACAAACCUUGAGAAGUAUAAGAAGCUGUGCCUGCUGAACUUGCUGAAGUCAGUGAAGAUUUGAUGGUAUGGGUGUCCACAAAGCCACAACAGCAGAAAAGCCAGAGCACGGACAAAAUCCUGAGGAGGCCUCUUGCUCCACAUCACAGACAUCUUACCCUCUGAAUCUGCAACCAAAGGCUUCAUUGUUGCUGAAGAGCUGUCCCCAUUUUAUAGAAUUUUAUAUGAAUACAAUUAUAUGGCAUUACUCUGCUUGCAGUAUUUAUUGAAUUAACAUCACUGGUUGCCUGCAUUAUAUGGAUAAAUCCUGCUAUACUGAUUACCUUGAGAUGGCUCUGUAGGCUAUUUCCAAUUUGGAGAUACAGUGAAUGAAGGCUUUAUAAUCAAAUACCAUUGUGUGCAAAUGCAUAUGUUAUUGCAUCUUUGCUAACACACAGAGUUGUCAGACUUCUUCAUUUCAGUCUGACAGAAUUGUUUAGCAGUAAUUCAUUGUCUUUUCAUUGGCCUCUGAAAUAGUUAUUGCAGAGAUAUAUUAUUAUGCAUUUAGCAAUGAUGUGACCUUCUCUUAGCUGUAUUCAAUCUGUGUUGAGCCCCUGCAUGCCCCAGUGAGACUUUCUAACUCACCAGUCCUGUGGCUACUUGGGGGAAAGACUCUGAGGGAAAACAAAAAUAGAGGGGAACAAAAAGAAAAAUCAAGCCUUUGCAGGAUGGUUUCCUGUAAAUUUGGGCUGUAUGUCACACUUUCCCCAAAAUAAAAUAAACUUCCUCUUUGUCUUUUCCCACUA